UGAAAACAAGAGUUGGGCAUUUAACCGACUGAGCCACCCAGGCACUCCAACAACUCACAUAUUCCUCAAUGGGGCAUGUUCAAUAAUUUCCCAGGUCUUUGUCACUUCCACUCCUUCAGCUGCAAUAUGCUUCCUUCUUCUUCUUCCCACCCUGACUCCCUCUCAUUCUUUCUUCCUUCCAGGUGGCUCUCCCUCUGGACAUUCCUCAUUGGUCCCUCUGCACAAGGUGCUUAAUAUAAUAUGGGAUGCUACUUCAGGAUCUCCUACAUCCUAACCCUGUAGAUUGCAGACACAGCUAACAGAGCCCGCCUUCCUGGAUCCAUGGUCAACGAGCAUGCUCACAGUCCGGUGCAGCCCAUGCCCCGCCCACUGCAGUGCUGGAACCAGGUCAUCCUUCCCACUACCUGAUGUAUAAAUAAAUAAAUAACUGUGAAAAAAAAUCCAA
Long non-coding RNA from Leopardus geoffroyi (Geoffroy's cat), 445 nucleotides. RefSeq lists it as uncharacterized. The transcript has 2 exons. The record is from RefSeq and is a predicted model, not a curated record. NCBI's taxonomy places the organism in Eukaryota, Metazoa, Chordata, Mammalia, Carnivora, Felidae.